CAACAUUUCUCAUCCUCCUUGGAGAGGCCUGUGGAAAGAUGAACAGAGAGCUCCCGUACUGUGAUUUUAAAAUGAGCAAAAUGGAGAGAAAGAAUACAGACCAGAAUCAGGGAGCUCAGGACUCGAGAAACAGAUCUGGAAAAAUAGACAGUGGAGUUAGAAUCCUGAUCACUAUGGUUCCACAGCUCAGAGACUCUGCUGAUCCCAGCUCCCUAUGGACCCGAGGCUGGCAAAGGCAGAUCGCUCGCCCAAGUCGACAGCUGACAAACUGGAGUCUGCCUGCUUCAACUGAACACUUUUCACACCCAGAGAGGAGAGAGAAGACCCUCAAAGAGAUGAAUCAAGAAGGGAGAAAAAGUAAAAGUCCUUUCUCUCCACGUCUCAGGAUCUGAUUGGCUUUGCUGGCACCCUGCAGUUUCAUGAAAGGAAAUCUGACUCCAAGAAGUGCGGCCAGGAGAAGCCCUGGGGAUGGAGGCCAGAUGUUAAGACAACAAGAGGUGGAGUUGAGUAAUGGAUGGCAGGACUCCAGCCACCCGAAGGGAGCAAACACACCUGCUCAGGUCCUGAGGUACACCGGGACUUGGCAGGCUCAAGGAGAGGAGGAGGAGGAGGAGGACAGCAAGAGGGCUUGGCUGAAGAAACUCCUUUGGCUUGGAAACACUGCCCAAGCUUGUGGCAUGAGAGUGGACAUUCUUUUAUUUUUCUCUUUGCUGUUCCAGAUCUAAAUCCCCUUCCUAAUUUUGAGGAAUCACCCACUGUGAGUCAGCACUCUGCCAACAUCAGGAUGUGAACAGUGUGACAUGUUGUUCAUGACUGUAUGUGACUUCCGCCUGUCAACCAGCCCAUGAGCAGUAUUGAAAGGCACAAGUCCUUGGUCUUAUUUUUCCUGGCUGCCAAUUAGACCACAUAGGUCUAGAACAUCCCCAGCCAGGACUCUGGGAUGGCGACCAUGGUCAGCAAUGGAGGUGGACACAUUAUGUCUGCUGCCUCCUCUCCCUGUUUUCAAAGCCUGCUUCUCACGCCUUCUUACUGAUGCUUCGAGCAAGCUUUCCAGAAAUGUCUUUUCUGUCACUAUUGGCCAGAACUUAACAGCAGCUACCUGGCUGAGAUGGGCUCCACCCGUCACCUGCAAUAGGAGAAGCCCCUCCAUUUGAAGACCAGUGUGCCCUGCAUUGUGCAUGCGGCCAAGGCAAAAGGCAUAAGAGCACAUACAAUGGAAGAAAAAAAGUUCACAGUGCAACACAUGCUGGGAAACACAUUUGAAAAACCACCUGUCACACUUGCUGAAACUGCUCAUAUGGUGUUGGGAACAAGAUGUGGCCAGACAGGUACUAACCGUCCUGUUGCUGCUGUUUCCCACAAGGCAGACCCACGUUAAGACCAA
Molecule: long non-coding RNA, 1384 nt
Filed under: Heterocephalus glaber (naked mole-rat)
Lineage: Eukaryota; Metazoa; Chordata; Mammalia; Rodentia; Bathyergidae
Description: lncRNA (ENSHGLG00100041573.1)
Source: RNAcentral